UGUUUGAUCAAAGCAGUCAUGAUCAGAGGCCAAACUACGUAUACUGUUUAGUCUUCCCUGUUGACUUGGGUAGAAACAGCCCUGCUUUCACAUGGGGUUGUGCUGUUGUGUUUCUUGUAUAGCAAUUUGAGGUCAACUGGCAAAGAUUUUGAACGGUCAGCAAGGAGCAAGCCUUUGACACUUCGUCUCUGUUGGAGAAUCAGAGCCUUCCAAGAAGGCCCUUUUCCUGUUUCCACAAUUGGUAAUGUGGCUACUGCCGUUGAAGGUAACUGGAGAAUCUCGGAGCAUCUGCGACGGAGGUGUCGAUGGAAUUGUCACCGGUGGGAUUUCGAAGGAUUCGAGUGGUGGUGGUGGAUGUCUCCACUCGGGCAGAGGUCCAGCCACAAGUAGAGUCUGAAGCAAAGGACCUGCUUUCAUCACUGCUUCCAAGAGCUUGCCUUUCUCAGGCAAUGGCUUCUCUGGAACCAAUUCCACCUGGAUGUGCGGUGGCGGUACAGCUGGAGGAAACUGUGGUGGCGGAAUUGGGUCAAUGGCAGGAGAAGAGACAAUGCUUUCUUCACAAUCCGACAAGGAAAAGCCAUUGAUAGAAUCAAUCCCUUUCUUUGGUUCAUCUUCAAUGCUGGAAAUUCCUGAAUGAGGGUCUGUUCUCUGCUGCUGCUGCUGUAGUAAAAGCUUCUCAAUGAGUAACUUCUGAAACUUUUCGUUAGCUUCAUCUCUCUCUCUAAUGGCUUUGCUGAAAAGAUCCUUGAGAUGAAUCAACUGUUCAUCUCUCUUUCUUAGCUCCUCUUGAACUGCAACUCUCGUUUGUUCCAACUCGAGAGUCGCACAGAAAAGCGAAUGCCUUAAUUCUUCAAUAUUCUGUUUCAAAGCACACACAACCACCUAAGAAAUGACAAUUGGAAACAAACCCAGAAGCCAAAUUCUAGAAAUAGUGAGAAAAGAAGAAGCUUUUUUACCUUUCCUUGGAAAAAGUAAGCCCAACUCAGAAGAGCACUACGUUGGUUUUCCAUAACUGAACUCCACAAAUUUGAGAGAGAAGAAAAAGUAGACGGAGAGAGAGAGAGAGAGAUGUGGUUUCAGACUGGCAGUUGUUGAAGUUCUUAUAAGAAAUGUAUAUAAUGACACUGUUUUCUUUUGACA
Cucumis melo (muskmelon) is the source of this 1140-nucleotide long non-coding RNA. RefSeq lists it as uncharacterized. The record is from RefSeq and is a predicted model, not a curated record. NCBI's taxonomy places the organism in Eukaryota, Viridiplantae, Streptophyta, Magnoliopsida, Cucurbitales, Cucurbitaceae. The transcript is spliced from 2 exons.